CCUACGGGUGGCAGCAGUGAGGAAUAUUGGUCAAUGGGCGGGAGCCUGAACCAGCAAAGUCGCGUGAGGGACGACGGUCCUAUGAAUUGUAAACCUCUUUUGUCGGGGAACAAACGCGCCCACGGGUGGGCGGAUGAGUGUACCCGAAGAAAAAACAUCGGCUAACUCCGUUCCAGCAGCCGCGGUAAUACGGGGGAUGCGAGCGUUAUCCGGAUUUAUUGGGUUAAAAGGGUGCGUAGGCGGACAGUCAAUGCAGCGGUAAAAAUGCGGUGCUCAAAGCCGUACAGCCGUUGAAACUGGCAGUCUUGAGUGGGCGAGAAGUAUGCGGAAUGCGUGGUGUAGGGGUGAAAUGCAGAGAUAUCACGAAGAACUCCGAUUGCGAAGGCAGCAUACUGGCGCCCGACUGACGCUGAGGCACGAAAGCGUGGGUAUCGAACAGGAUUAGAUACCCCAGUAGUC
This 459-nucleotide ribosomal RNA is filed under the name uncultured bacterium. RNAcentral's name for it is "partial 16S ribosomal RNA". It matches the Rfam family "Bacterial small subunit ribosomal RNA", at positions 338 to 795 of the family's 1533-position model. The record is from RNAcentral.